ACCAAAAGCCAGAACUAAACACCCAGAGCAGACCGAGUGUAAAAGACUAAAGCUGCAGAUAGGAGAGAAUAGGAAACAACUGCUCAGAAGCUGCCAGCUAAUAACGAUAAUCUAGUUUGUUUCAGUAGUAAUUUCAGGUUUCAGGUGUUUCAGGUUGUUUACCAAAGCAGUGACACUGCACCAGUCAUGAAGAUUAGGAAGGUGAUUCUCAUGGAUCAGUUCAUGAGGAGAGAAACUCACCCCCAACCGCCUGCUGAUGAGUGGUUAGAUGUCUUAGGAAAUGAAACCAAACCACUUUGAAGCAGUGCUGACAGAGCUGCCUGAAAAUGUGAAAGCACCCACAAACAUCAGCACCCACAAACAUCAGGCCACGGAUGAGAAGAUGUUGGAGGACCCGUCCAGCACCCACACACAUCAGGCCACGGAUGAGAAGAUGUUGGAGGACUCGUCCAGCACCCACAAACAUCAGGCCACGGAUGAGAAGAUGUUGGAGGACUCGUCCAGCACCCACAAACAUCAGGCCACGGAUGAGAAGAUGUUGGAGGACUCGUCCAGCACCCACACACAUCAGGCCACGGAUGAGAAGAUGUUGGAGGACUCGUCCAGCACCCACAAACAUCAGGUCACGGAUGAGAAGAUGUUGGAGGACCCGUCCAGCACCCACAAACAUCAGGCCACUGAUGAGAAGAUGUUGGAGGACCCGUCCAGCACCCACACACAUCAGGCCACGGAUGAGAAGAUGUUGGAGGACCCGUCCAGCACCCACAAACAUCAGGCCACGGAUGAGAAGAUGUUGGAGGACUCGUCCAGCACCCACACACAUCAGGCCACGGAUGAGAAGAUGUUGGAGGACCCGUCCAGCACCCACACACAUCAGGCCACGGAUGAGAAGAUGUUGGAGGACCCGUCCAGCACCCACACACAUCAGGCCACGGAUGAGAAGAUGUUGGAGGCCCGUCCAGCACCCACACACAUCAGGCCACGGAUGAGAAGAUGUUGGAGGCCCCGUCCAGCACCCACA
This 1021-nucleotide long non-coding RNA is filed under the name Gouania willdenowi (blunt-snouted clingfish). RNAcentral's name for it is "lncRNA (ENSGWIG00000012438.1)". Lineage: Eukaryota; Metazoa; Chordata; Actinopteri; Blenniiformes; Gobiesocidae. The record is from RNAcentral.